ACGCACGCUGGCGGCGUGCUUAACACCUGCCAGUCGCACGGAAAGGCCCUGCUUGCAGGGUGCUCGAGUGGCGAACGGGUGAGUAACACGUGGGUGAUCUGCCCCUUACUUUGGGAUAAGCCUGGGAAACUGGGUCUAAUACUGGAUAGGACCAUGCUGUAGGUGGUGUGGUGGAAAGAUUAGUUUCGGUAAGGGAUGAGCUCGCGGCCUAUCAGCUUGUUGGUGGGGUAAUGGCCUACCAAGGCGUCGACGGGUAGCCGGCCUGAGAGGGUGGACGGCCACAUUGGGACUGAGAUACGGCCCAGACUCCUACGGGAGGCAGCAGAGGGGAAUAUUGCACAAUGGGCGCAAGCCUGAUGCAGCGACGCCGCGUGGGGGAUGACGGCCUUCGGGUUGUAAACUCCUUUCAGCCAUGACGAAGCCCUUGUGGUGACGGUAGUGGUAGAAGAAGCACCGGCUAACUACGUG
This 468-nucleotide ribosomal RNA is filed under the name uncultured bacterium. Its description in RNAcentral is "partial 16S ribosomal RNA". It matches the Rfam family "Bacterial small subunit ribosomal RNA", at positions 29 to 507 of the family's 1533-position model. The record is from RNAcentral.